CGGAACGUGCACUCCCACGUCGGCUCGGUCCCGGUCAGGCACUGCUCGCCGAAGUAGGCGCCGUCGGCGAGGAAGCCGAGUACCUGGUCCCCGCCGUACGGUCCGGUGCCGACCUUGUCGACGCGGCCGUGCGCCAGCAGGAAGACGCGGUCCUUGGCGUCGCCGGCGCGGGCCAGCACGGUGCCCGGCUCGCAGUCCACCCGCUCGCAGCGCUCGGCGAGCCGGCCCAGCACCUCCUCGUCGCCGUAGCCGCUGAGCGCCGGGAGUUCGCCCAGUUCGGCCGGGAUGACCGACACCUCCCCGCCGGUCUGCACGAACGUCAGCCGUCCGUCGCCGACGGCGUAGCUCAGCCGCCGGUUCACCCGGUAGGUACCGCCCUUCACGUCCACCCACGGCAGCAUCCGCAGCAGCCAGCGGGAGGAGGUCUCCUGCAUCUGCGGAGCGGAUUUCGCGGUCGUCGACAGGUUCCGCGCCGCGGACGCCGCCAGACUCUGCUGCGCGGACGCCU
Molecule: antisense RNA, 508 nt
Filed under: Streptomyces sp. WMMB 714
Lineage: Bacteria; Bacillati; Actinomycetota; Actinomycetes; Kitasatosporales; Streptomycetaceae
Description: Saccharopolyspora sRNA 350
Rfam family: Saccharopolyspora sRNA 350
Source: Rfam by way of RNAcentral